CUCGUAGGUGGCCAACUAAGUCAUACGUGAAAUCCCUCGGCUUAACCGGGGAACUGCGUCUGAUACUGGAUGGCUUGAGUUUGGGAGAGGGAUGCGGAAUUCCAGGUGUAGCGGUGAAAUGCGUAGAUAUCUGGGGGAACGACCGGUGGCGAAGGCGGCAUCCUGGACCAACACUGACGCUGAUGAGCGAAAGCCAGGGAGCAAACG
This 207-nucleotide ribosomal RNA is filed under the name uncultured bacterium. RNAcentral's name for it is "partial 16S ribosomal RNA". It matches the Rfam family "Bacterial small subunit ribosomal RNA", at positions 568 to 774 of the family's 1533-position model. The record is from RNAcentral.